Molecule: ribosomal RNA, 407 nt
Filed under: uncultured bacterium
Lineage: Bacteria
Description: partial 16S ribosomal RNA
Rfam family: Bacterial small subunit ribosomal RNA
Source: RNAcentral
AGUGAACGCUGGCGGUAGGCCUAACACAUGCAAGUCGAACGGAGUGGCGGACGGGUGAGUAAUACAUCGGAAUCUACUCUGUCGUGGGGGAUAACGUCGGGAAACUUACGCUAAUACCGCAUACUAUCAGAUGAGCCUAGGUCGGAUUAGCUAGUUGGUGGGGUAAAGGCCUACCAAGGCGACGAUCCGUAACUGGUCUGAGAGGAUGAUCAGUCAGACUGGAACUGAGAGACUGUGCAGAAUCCUACGGGAGGCAGCAGUGGGGAAUAUUGGACAAUGGGCGAAAGCCUGAUACAGACAUGCCGCGUGUGUGAAGAAGGUCUUCGGAUUGUAAAGGACUUUAAGUUGGGAGGCGUUACCAACAGAAUAAGCACCGGCUAACUUCGUGCCAGCAGCCGCGGUAAUUC